UACGUAAGGUCCGAGCGUUGUCCGGAAUCAUUGGGCAUAAAGGGUACGUAGGCGGAUAAGCAAGUUAGAAGUGAAAUCCUAUAGCUCAACUAUAGUAAGCUUUUAAGACUGCACAGCUUGAGGUAUGGAAGGGAAAGUGGAAUUCCUAGUGUAGCGGUGAAAUGCGCAGAUAUUAGGAGGAAUACCGGUGGCGAAGGCGACUCUCUGGCCCUGAACUGACGCUGAUGUACGAAAGCGUGGGUAGCAAACAGG
This 252-nucleotide ribosomal RNA is filed under the name uncultured bacterium. RNAcentral describes it as "partial 16S ribosomal RNA". It matches the Rfam family "Bacterial small subunit ribosomal RNA", at positions 524 to 776 of the family's 1533-position model. The record is from RNAcentral.